Molecule: long non-coding RNA, 697 nt
Organism: Chiroxiphia lanceolata (lance-tailed manakin)
Lineage: Eukaryota; Metazoa; Chordata; Aves; Passeriformes; Pipridae
Exons: 3
Source: RefSeq, a predicted model, not a curated record
UGCCAGCUUGGAUUGGUUGCAGUAACAGCUAAAUUUGCUCCUCCUGGUUUUCUUGUAGAAGGUGAAUGCAAGAACCUGCUAAGAAAACCAAUGGCCAAGGUGAUUGAUUAGUGUAGGACCUGAGAGAACCCCCUGAAAUGACAACCUGGAGUAGUUUCCAGGAUUAGAUUGCAAAGAUGGCCUUUGCUGCAUCUCCUUGAGCAAGGAAAGCCAAGAAACCUUUGCUUUUGCAGGAGAAAAUGGGGAAAGCGGGAAGGAAGCAAAGAAGCCCCGUGACUCCUCCCUGAGCCCCAGACAGCCCAGGAACUGCCUCCCUGGGAAUGGUGGGACGGGCUGGACUCUGGAUUGCUCCCUCUGGAUGUGUGUGGGAUGUAGCCUGGAAACUGCCCAGAUCUGAGCCAAGGGAUUGAAAGGGACCAAGCAAGGGAGGUGAAGAAACAAGGAAGAAGGGAACUAAGGCAUCAGCCAAGCAGCACCAAGUUCCUGUGUAAGCAGGGACACUGAGCUGGUCCAGCUGUGGCAAGAAGAGCCCUGAUGCCUGAGUGCUCUCCAGCCCCCAGGAUGGAUCCCAACUGUCAGCCCAUGGCUCCAUCCCUUGAGAAGAUGGUGUUCCUGCAAGCCCAGCUGCUGUGCUGGUGCUCCUGUGGGCACCUCCUGCCCUGGCCUGCUGAGAAUGUGUUGGUGUUGCAGCUCAAUA